AACUUUUAAACAAUGGAUCUCUUGGCUCUCACAUCCGAUGAAGAACACCAGUGAAAUGUGAUAAGUAAUGUGAAUUGCAGAAUUCAGUGAAUCAUUGAAUCUUUGAACCGCACCUUGCCACCUUUUGGUAUUCCAAGAGGUACACCUGUUUGAGUGUCAU
This 160-nucleotide ribosomal RNA is filed under the name Puccinia polysora. Its description in RNAcentral is "5.8S ribosomal RNA". It matches the Rfam family "5.8S ribosomal RNA". From Rfam's summary of the family: 5.8S ribosomal RNA (5.8S rRNA) is a component of the large subunit of the eukaryotic ribosome. It is transcribed by RNA polymerase I as part of the 45S precursor that also contains 18S and 28S rRNA. Functionally, it is thought that 5.8S rRNA may be involved in ribosome translocation. Lineage: Eukaryota; Fungi; Basidiomycota; Pucciniomycetes; Pucciniales; Pucciniaceae. The record is from RNAcentral.